GCCGGCGAGAGCAGCCUUCGUGACCCCAGCUGCCGGAGAAAGAAAUGUAAAAUGCAGCCAGGCGAAUCGCGCGGGUCUCCCCAAACUUCCGUUCUCCUCCGACCCGCUGGAAAGGCUCCUGACUGGGGUGCAGCUGACCGGAGCGGGCUGCAGCGGGCCCGGGUGCCAAGGUGCCGUCUCAGCUGGGCGCCCUAGGGCCGUGUGUGCUUGGCAAGCUGCAGGGCCUCUGCUCCCAAAGCCUGUGCCUCCUGCCGCCAAGGCCCGCCUGGUUGCUGGAGACGGAAAUGAGAUGGCAUACACAGAGCUCCUGGUACAGUGGUCAGUUCCAUUCAUGUUGAAAGGUGUACCCCAGCCUCUCUCUUCCACUUUCCUCAGCACCAAGCCAACGCAGGCAAAUUCAUAGGUUUUCCUUAAGACAAUACCACUUUAGCCAGACGUGGUAACUC
This 446-nucleotide long non-coding RNA is filed under the name Homo sapiens (human). RNAcentral describes it as "non-protein coding lnc-MICAL3-6:2". The record is from RNAcentral. Lineage: Eukaryota; Metazoa; Chordata; Mammalia; Primates; Hominidae.